UACGGAGGGUGCAAGCGUUACUCGGAAUCACUGGGCGUAAAGCGCGCGUAGGCGGUGAGGCAAGUCAGGUGUGAAAGCCCUCGGCUUAACCGAGGAAAUGCACUUGAAACUGCCUUUCUUGAGUACGGGAGAGUGAAGUGGAAUUCCCAGUGUAGAGGUGAAAUUCGUAGAUAUUGGGUGGAACACCAGUGGCGAAGGCGGCUCACUGGACCGGUACUGACGCUAAGGCACGAAAGCGUGGGGAGCAAACAGC
This 253-nucleotide ribosomal RNA is filed under the name uncultured bacterium. RNAcentral describes it as "partial 16S ribosomal RNA". It matches the Rfam family "Bacterial small subunit ribosomal RNA", at positions 524 to 776 of the family's 1533-position model. The record is from RNAcentral.